CCCUUAGAUGUUCUGGGCUGCACGCGCGCUACACUGACACACUCAGCGAGUCUCCUGGUCCGAGAGGAUUGGGUAAUCAUGUGAGCGUGUGUCGUGAUGGGGAUAGAAUAUUGUAAUUAUUGCUCUUCAACGAGGAAUUCCUAGUAAGCGCGAGUCAGCAGCUCGCGCUGAUUACGUCCCUGCCCUUUGUACACACCGCCCGUCGCUCCUACCAAUGGGUGAUCCGGUGAAUGACUCGGACUCUGGAAUUAGCUAUUUAUAGCUUUUAUCCGGAGGAAGUUUUGUGAACCUUAUCACUUGGAGGAAGGAGAAGUCGUAACA
This 321-nucleotide ribosomal RNA is filed under the name uncultured eukaryote. RNAcentral describes it as "partial 18S ribosomal RNA". It matches the Rfam family "Eukaryotic small subunit ribosomal RNA", at positions 1470 to 1796 of the family's 1831-position model. The record is from RNAcentral.